RNAcentral lists this ribosomal RNA (1346 nucleotides) under uncultured bacterium. Its description in RNAcentral is "partial 16S ribosomal RNA". It matches the Rfam family "Bacterial small subunit ribosomal RNA", at positions 28 to 1381 of the family's 1533-position model. The record is from RNAcentral.
GACGAACGCUGGCGGCGUGCUUAACACAUGCAAGUCGAACGGAAAGGCCCUGCUUUUGUGGGGUGCUCGAGUGGCGAACGGGUGAGUAACACGUGAGUAACCUGCCCUUGACUUUGGGAUAACUUCAGGAAACUGGGGCUAAUACCGGAUAGGAGCUCCUGCUGCAUGGUGGGGGUUGGAAAGUUUCGGCGGUUGGGGAUGGACUCGCGGCUUAUCAGCUUGUUGGUGGGGUAGUGGCUUACCAAGGCUUUGACGGGUAGCCGGCCUGAGAGGGUGACCGGCCACAUUGGGACUGAGAUACGGCCCAGACUCCUACGGGAGGCAGCAGUGGGGAAUAUUGCACAAUGGGCGGAAGCCUGAUGCAGCAACGCCGCGUGCGGGAUGACGGCCUUCGGGUUGUAAACCGCUUUCGCCUGUGACGAAGCGUGAGUGACGGUAAUGGGUAAAGAAGCACCGGCUAACUACGUGCCAGCAGCCGCGGUGAUACGUAGGGUGCGAGCGUUGUCCGGAUUUAUUGGGCGUAAAGGGCUCGUAGGUGGUUGAUCGCGUCGGAAGUGUAAUCUUGGGGCUUAACCCUGAGCGUGCUUUCGAUACGGGUUGACUUGAGGAAGGUAGGGGAGAAUGGAAUUCCUGGUGGAGCGGUGGAAUGCGCAGAUAUCAGGAGGAACACCAGUGGCGAAGGCGGUUCUCUGGGCCUUUCCUGACGCUGAGGAGCGAAAGCGUGGGGAGCGAACAGGCUUAGAUACCCUGGUAGUCCACGCUGUAAACGGUGGGUACUAGGUGUGGGGUCCAUUCCACGGGUUCCGUGCCGUAGCUAACGCUUUAAGUACCCCGCCUGGGGAGUACGGCCGCAAGGCUAAAACUCAAAGGGAUUGACGGGGCCCCGCACAAGCGGCGGAGCAUGCGGAUUAAUUCGAUGCAACGCGUAGAACCUUACCUGGGUUUGACAUGGAUCGGGAGUGCUCAGAGAUGGGUGUGCCUCUUUUGGGGUCGGUUCACAGGUGGUGCAUGGCUGUCGUCAGCUCGUGUCGUGAGAUGUUGGGUUAAGUCCCGCAACGAGCGCAACCCUUGUUCACUGUUGCCAGCACGUUAUGGUGGGGACUCAGUGGAGACCGCCGGGGUCAACUCGGAGGAAGGUGGGGAUGACGUCAAGUCAUCAUGCCCCUUAUGUCCAGGGCUUCACGCAUGCUACAAUGGCUGGUACAGAGAGUGGCGAGCCUGUGAGGGUGAGCGAAUCUCGGAAAGCCGGUCUCAGUUCGGAUUGGGGUCUGCAACUCGAUCUCAUGAAGUCGGAGUCGCUAGUAAUCGCAGAUCAGCAACGCUGCGGUGAAUACGUUCCCGGGGCU